Molecule: long non-coding RNA, 863 nt
Filed under: Agrilus planipennis (emerald ash borer)
Lineage: Eukaryota; Metazoa; Arthropoda; Insecta; Coleoptera; Buprestidae
Description: uncharacterized LOC108734289, transcript variant X2
Source: RNAcentral
UAGGAAAAGCCUGGGAACUUGUUUCUGCAUAUAGAUCGUUUUUAUUAGAAAUAAUAGGCUGAUUUUGUAAAAUAGUUCCUAUGUUUUAACAAAAUUACUAUUUUCAUUCGUUGACCCUUUUUUGAUAUACAAAAUUUUUUUUGAUUUUCAUUUGCUAUUUUCUUUCCACAGGUGUAUCUUCGGAAUACAUUUUUUCCUACCUUUGCCAAACAAAAUUUUCUCCAGCUGUUCAACCUAUGCAGACGGUGUAUCUUCUCUUAAGGACCUUGAUGUUAUGAAGAACUUCCUAAACGCAUCAUUCGUUCCAUACUGAUAGGAAACCUUGGAAUACUUUGGGUUGACUAUUAAUGAGAAAGAGAGUACAUUGAUAUUGAUUUUGAUGUUGCUGAAACAAGUGUCUACAGUAGCAUCAUAUUUUCUGGACUUGGUUUUCUGUCUUGCAACAGCACUACACAGUUAAUUCGGACCGAUGAGAAAGAACAAUUGGAAAUUGAAAAUAACAUGUUGUUGUUCCUCCUGAGUUUGGCUUGCUCUUCGCAGUUGCAGUUGUAUUCUACAAUUAAUUCAGGUUAUACAAUAAAUGGGAAAGAAUUAACGUUCAGUUUGGUUAUACUGAAACAGCCAAUGUCUACAUGGGUGUGGUCUUUUGUGGAUUAUAUUCUUGAUUUGCUGUUUUGUCUUCGCCUUGUAACAUCAUGCAGUUAAUUUUCAACCCAUGAGUGAUGGCAACUGGACAUUUAUUUGAAUUCCAUUGAAAUAAGUUCUCUGCUACAGUAUUCCUCCUGGAGUUGGUUUACUUUUCACACCUGUAAACUUUGGAAUAUUACAAUCAAUUCUAUAAUUAAUUAAGGUGAGGAUGCUUG